UACAGAGGGGGCCAGCGUUAUUCGGAAUUAUUGGGCGUAAAGGGUGCGUAGGCGGCGCGGUAAGUCGGGUGUGAAAUCUCGGAGCUUAACUCCGAAACUGCAUUCGAUACUGCCGUGCUUGAGGACUGGAGAGGAGACUGGAAUUUACGGUGUAGCGGUGAAAUGCGUAGAUAUCGUAAGGAAGACCAGUGGCGAAGGCGGGUCUCUGGACAGUUCCUGACGCUGAGGCACGAAGGCCAGGGGAGCAAACGGG
Molecule: ribosomal RNA, 253 nt
Filed under: uncultured bacterium
Lineage: Bacteria
Description: partial 16S ribosomal RNA
Rfam family: Bacterial small subunit ribosomal RNA
Source: RNAcentral